Molecule: ribosomal RNA, 451 nt
Filed under: uncultured bacterium
Lineage: Bacteria
Description: bacterial SSU rRNA
Rfam family: Bacterial small subunit ribosomal RNA
Source: RNAcentral
UACGGAAGGCAGCAGUGGGGAAUAUUGCACAAUGGGCGCAAGCCUGAUGCAGCCAUGCCGCGUGUAUGAAAAAGGCCUUCGGGUUGUAAAGUACUUUCAGUCGUGAGGAAGGUGUUAAGGUUAAUAACCUUAGCAAUUGACGUUAGCGACAGAAGAAGCACCGGCUAACUCCGUGCCAGCAGCCGCGGUAAUACGGAGGGUGCGAGCGUUAAUCGGAAUUACUGGGCGUAAAGGGCACGCAGGCGGUUAAUUAAGUUGGAUGUGAAAUCCCCGGGCUUAACCUGGGAAUGGCAUUCAAGACUGGUUAGCUAGAGUCUUGUAGAGGGGGUAGAAUUCCAUGUGUAGCGGUGAAUGCGUAGAGAUGUGGAGGAAUACCGGUGGCGAAGGCGGCCCCUGGACAAAGACUGACGCUCAUGUGCGAAGCGUGGGGAGCGAAACAGGAUUAGAUACC